CGCAGCUCGGAUCCUGCGUUGCCGUGGCUCUGGUGUAGGCUGGUGGCUACAGCUCCAAUUAGACUCCUAGUCUGGGAACCUCCAUAUGCCACGGGAGCGGCCCUAGAAAAGGCAAAAAGACCAAAAAAAAAAAACAAAACAAAAAGAAUAUUUGUUAUUUCAAAUAUAUCUUUUUAAAAAAGAAAUUCCUCGAAGUCACAAAAUAAUGUAAUGUCAUUGGUCUCGAUUCAUAAUAUCGUCCAUUACUUCAAAUUGUAGGGAACAAAUUAAUUUUCACGCUUCUAUAAGAAUAAUUCUAAAUCAUGUUAAGUCCCUAUAGAUACAGGUUUGAAUAUCUAGAGCUUUGGAAUUUAUUCUAUAUAAUAGUUCCUUUUUUCAUAUAAGUUCUCAUUUUCAAAGUUAAAAGUUUUGUAAGAUCAAAAUAGUUUUAGGCCACAGCAGUAAGCAAAAUGAAACACAUAUGGUACGUGACCAUUUUUCUCCAUUUAACAGGUCAAAGUGAGGCAAGACGCAGCUUUAUCUGCCCAAAGAGAGAUUCAUCCACUUAGACAGAAGAGCUGAUAGGAUGACAUCAAUCUUUACAUCGGAUGCUUCCAUCAUGCCAUUCUUAUUCUGCUCCAAUGUCCACUUUAAGAGGACCGAGUAUGUGAGGAUAAUGUAUUCAUUCUUUGGUCCAUUCUCCUACUGAAGCAGGUAAAUGGUGGGCAAGGGAGGGAGCAGUAGAAGGAGGGUUGAGUACAUCUGUAAGUCAAGAGUUAUAAUGUUUUCAAUCAUUACACUUUAAUAUCAAUGGUAAUUAUUUCUAAAAUUAUCAUUCUCUAAAAUCUGUGAAGAGGAAUAUUUUAAAAAUACUUAAAAGCAUUUGUGCAUAUGUACUAAUAAUAGAGAACAAUGUAAUGUGAGGGACAAAGCUGUUUUCAGAAGAGAAAAGAGAAAUGAAAUGUGGUUUGCUCCAUAGUUUUGAAAACUUGAUUGAAGUUGGGAGAUUCUGGUCCCUGGGAACUGACACAACUCUGAAAUAAGCCAUUAAUAAUGCAGCCCUCCACCCUCCCCCUAUCCUGAAUCUCUGAAUAGCCUGAAGGAAGAGAUUUUUAAGAAUAAUACCCUAGCACUUUCCACAAUGCCUGGCACAGAAUUUAUCCUCCUUAUUUUAUUUUUCUGGAGUUGGAAUAGAAGUUAAUGAAAUUUCUUGGCAAUUUGUCUUGUUAUUGAUAGAGUUACUAUCUCAGGAUCCAGGUAUCUAAGCAUUUUUUUUUUUCUGCAGUAUAUUUCGCUUUUACAUCAGAUAGUUGCUACUCACACAUUUCUCCCCUUUGGCCAAGUAUUAGUCCAUUUUUGCUGUAUAGUAAACCAUCACAAAACUUAGUGAU
RNAcentral lists this long non-coding RNA (1370 nucleotides) under Sus scrofa (pig). RNAcentral's name for it is "lncRNA (ENSSSCG00050036744.1)". Lineage: Eukaryota; Metazoa; Chordata; Mammalia; Artiodactyla; Suidae. The record is from RNAcentral.